AAUGGCUGUCAUACCCUCCUGAACAAGCCUGAUCCUGUCUGAUCUCGGAAGCUAAGCAGAGUCAGGCCUGGUAAGUACUUGGAUGGGAAACCACCUAGGAAGACCAGGUGCUGUAGGCA
This 119-nucleotide ribosomal RNA is filed under the name Pteropus alecto (black flying fox). The record is from RNAcentral. Lineage: Eukaryota; Metazoa; Chordata; Mammalia; Chiroptera; Pteropodidae.